UCCCCUAUGGGAGGCAGCAGUGGGGAACUGGACAAUGGGGGCAAGCCUGAUCCAGCAAUGCCGCGUGGGUGAAGAAGGCCUUCGGGUGUAAAGCACUUUUGUCGGGGAAGAAGUCCUUGCGUUUAAUACCGUGGGGAAUGACGGUACCGGAAGAAUAAGCAUUCGCAAUUUUUG
RNAcentral lists this ribosomal RNA (174 nucleotides) under uncultured bacterium. RNAcentral's name for it is "partial 16S ribosomal RNA". It matches the Rfam family "Bacterial small subunit ribosomal RNA", at positions 335 to 505 of the family's 1533-position model. The record is from RNAcentral.